RNAcentral lists this long non-coding RNA (4895 nucleotides) under Sus scrofa (pig). RNAcentral describes it as "lncRNA (ENSSSCG00015003471.1)". Lineage: Eukaryota; Metazoa; Chordata; Mammalia; Artiodactyla; Suidae. The record is from RNAcentral.
GUAUGGCAAGUGUACAAAGAGAGUUCUGGAAGGUGACCCCUCAACCUUUCAUAUCUCUUCUGCAUGGAAAAUUACAACCUUUAAUUAUAACUCAAAUCAAUUUAUUUAAUAUAACAUUAUUUUGCUGUAAAAUUCAUGUGACACAAAAUAAAUAUUUACAGACUAAAAACAUCAUGAAAGUUUAAUUAUAUUAUCUCAGGAAAAUAUAACUCCAGAGCACAAUUUAAAAUCCAAAGUUUUCAAAAUAAAGAAUUUUGCAUGAGCUCUAACCUGUAGAACUGACCCUGUGAAGUCUUUUAGUUCAUGAAAAAGAAAAAUAUUUCACUUCCAUUUAGUCAAUAGAUUACUGACAGUAAAUUUGCUAAUGAUACCUUGAGCCCUAAAAUUAGAUUUCUUUAACUGUUAGAUGAACCAAUGGUUUCCAAAUCAUGCUGAAAGUACAUUGAUGACUCCAAAUUGACCCCUGGCCUGGGAACCUCCAUAUUCUGUGGGUGAGGCCCUAAAAAGGAAAAAAAAAAAAACAAGAAAUAAAAUAAAUAAAUAGAUAAAUAAAUAACUCUAAAUGCAUAAAAACAGAAAGUAGAUUUGUGAUUGCUGGGGGCAGGGGUAGAGUGGGGAAAAAAUGGUUGAAAGUGAUCAAAGUGUUCAAACUUCUAGUCAUAAGAGGAAUAAGUUCUGGGGAUGUAAUGCAUAUCAUGAUGAAUAUAGUUAACUAUACUCUAUUGUAUACUUGAAAAUUGUUAACCAUAGAUCUUAAAAGUUCUCAUCAAACUCACAAAAUAAUGAUAGCUAUGUGAGGUGAUGGGUGUGUUAUAUAACCUUAUUGUGGUAGAAAUUUCACAUACAUAUAUAUAUAUCAAACUAUCACAUUGUAUACAUUAAACUUACACCAUAUGUCAAUUACAUCUCAAUAAAUAAAAUUAAAUAACGAAUGCUUAUAAAAAUUACUACUCUCAAGAAAUUUUUAAAACAGAAAGAUUUAUGUCAGAAAUUAUGUUCUUAAUCAAAUUAAUCAUGAUCUUUAAUGAAAAUAUAAGUAAAAUAUGGUAGAUCAAAAAGAGGUAAGGAUUCAGAACACUGACAAUUUCAGAAUUCAUUACUGAACUUAUUAGGGUUUAAGUAUGUAUACAUGAGUGUGUGUAUGUAUGAGUAAGUUAGGAAUUGAGAGCAGAAAAGGGAAUUUUGAAAUAGGAAAACAGAGAGAAAAAUAUUUCUUUACUUACUGGGUCAGUGAGUCUUUCUUGGGCCACAUUCUGUUAUUCUCUUAGUCCUUCUUAUCCAGGCAAUAAGGUAGGGCCAAUUAGAUAAUGAACUGUUUCAAAAUAUCUGUAUAGCAAAAAAAAUAUAUAUAUAUAUAGUGGUCAUCUGUUGCUACUCAGGAUCCAUUUCUUUUCUGAGAUCAGAACCAUUAGUUUUCUGGAAAACACUUGACCCAACCCUGAGUCCAAGCUUGUGUUUUGAAUGGGAGAUGACAUGGUCUUACUGGCUUUAUACCCCAAAGUGAAAAUGAAUCCUAAAAAAAAAGAAAACAAUAUAAUACAAAUUUAACAUAUAAAAAAAAAAAAAAGAAAGAAAGAAAAUGAACCCUGACUCGAGCUAGGCCAGUGAGAGCCCUUCUCCGGGCAUUUUACUUUGCACUAGUUAGUACUUUCUAGAUGUAUGAGAAAUAUAACUCUGGAAUGGCUCAUUACUGUGUUCCCGAACUUUAGAAUGUCAGUUUGCACCAAAGAAGAUAAGACCAACAUAAAGAGGAAAGCAAAGAUGAUGAUGGACCAGCUGUCCUGGGGAUUAGUUCUGCACUUUCUUGUAUUGGGUUAUAUAAGGUAUCCUAGUACCUUUCAAAUAACUUUCUUGCUGUAUUUUAAGCUUAUUCAAACAGGUUUCUUAUACUCUAAAGCAACAGCUCUGGUGGAUACAGUGUAAUAGUAGAAUGCAUGUUUUCAAUGGUCAGACAAACUUCACUGAAGCAAUAUAUAAUGGUCAGUAGAUGAUUGUUGUGGUCCACUUAGACAGGAGUGAUAGUCUAAACUAUGUGGUCAGAGAGAUGAACACCAAGUAAGUAGAUUUAUUGCUUUAAUAGGAAGAAAGCCAGAAUGGACUCUUUUAGGGACAAUAUUUUUCAAUAUGUAGCCCCUAGACACCUGCAUCCUAUUCACUUAGAGUGAUUGCUAAAGUCAACAUUCUUGGGCCCCAGCCUAGACCCAGGUCAUCAGAAUCUCUGGGGAGUGAAAGGAACUUUCUUAAACUAGCAUUCCAGAUGAUUCUAAUGUGGGUUAGAGGUUGAGAACCACUGCCUUGGAGGAAUGGUUGCCAUUACUAGGAUGCUAAUAUAAUGCAGUGUUUAGAGGUAAUACAUGCACAGUAAGGAUCCAAUUGUGCAGAGUGCAGAAAAAAACAUAGGAGAAAAAUCCAGACAGUGCUUUCCUAUGGUCAUUAUGUUAUAAUGACUAGAAAUGGAGAAAGAGCAGAUGAAAGCAUGGGACCUAAGAACUACAUAUCAGUAAUAAAGUAGAUUAAAAGUUUAAUAUAUACAUUAUAUAUAUAAAGAGAAAACACUGACUUGGUGUUCUUAUAUAGGAAAACAAAGACAAUCAAAUAUGAUUUCUGCAUUCCUUUGUUGCUGCUAUAUGAAUGUUUAUCCACUGCAAAUAGCCAACAUAUGCAUGAAAAAUUAAAAAUCCAUUCAAAGCAAUGAAUUAAUGGCCUAAUGUAAAACAACUAUCCCAAACUAUCUGUUCAAUUUCCCCUCAACUGUAUCAAACAAAUUUGCUACUGAAAUGGUGGUUUCAACUUCCAUUAAGACUGCCCAUCUGAUUUAAGUAAAUUUUUUCACCUUGAAAAUGAACUCAUAAUUUUAUGGCUUGUACUGUGUUGAAAGAUCUUAAAUCAGAGACCUUAAUCCAACCAAUUUUCACACACACACACACACACACACACACACACACACACACACACACGCAAAUGCCCCAAGUACAUUUCAAACUAGAUGAAUAAAAUAUCAAAUGAAGAAUCAUCAUGCAUAUGACCAUUUGCUCAAAUGAGUUCAUUUUUUUGUAUCUAGCCAGCAAGAAUCUAUUUCUACAAGAAAUGCAGGAGUUAAUGCCUCUGAGAAGAACAGCCACAAUCUAACCAUCUUGUCAAAUCCAUUCCCUGGAACCUCAGGGGUAGAGCCUUCCUACCAGCUUCAGGGAGGCCGCAUCAGCCUUUCCUUCCAUUCCUCAAUCUUCCAUUGUCAGACCGUGUUGGUAAUUGGUUUUUAAUUGGUUCAUUUACCCGAAUGAUUUAUACUGCCUCAGGUAGACAAGAUUUAAUGACACCCAUUACAGGGCUUUAGAUUAUUUCACAAAUAGAUAUGCUGUUGUCCUUCAAGAUUGAAGAUCCAUGCAUAUGAGUGUUAUCAUUCAUACAUCUCUGAUGUAGAAAAGUCCAGCGAGGCUAACAAGGAUAAAAAUCAGAGUUUAUCAACUGUGGACUAUGGACAAGGCAUUUUGCUAAGUUCUUUAUACACAUUAUCUGAUUUAACAGGCAUUUCCAUGAGAAGAGAAAUAAACAGAAAAAAGUGUCCAAAGAGUUGCAUUUGUUUCUGAACAGAAACUGCUUACAACUGUUUCUCCUUAACUUUCUGGAUGAUCACUUCCUUUGCUCAAAUUAGUGGCCCCACUUUGAGCAGUAAAUAAUGUACUCAGAAAAUCACUGAAGAAGUUAGAUAAGACAUCUAGCUUAAUUCUGGGUUCUGAUAAUAAUUGUGGGACUUUAAUCCAAUUAUUUAACAUUUGGGUUUAGACUGGCUCUCCGGAAUGCACUCUCAGUAGUCCUUAGAUAAUGUGGUUCACUGCAUAUGCCUAUUUCUCAUUUUGAUUGAUUAGCUACUUGAGGUACUGUCAAAUCUUCCUACAGUGUAACCUAUGCUUGUACUUCAGUGUUCUCUUAAAAUAUAAUUUCUGCCUAAUAAGAAAACCAUUUAAUGUCUAAAAAAGUUAUAAUUACUUUUCAUAUAUGUAUCAUCACAUAGGUGAAUUGAUAUGCAUUGGUAUUUAGAGAUUCUAAUGUUGUUUAUAUAAAACAAGAAAUUCAAGUGGACUCUUCUGAAUGAUAAAUUUGGAUAAAUUUAGAGAGGCACAUUUUAGGAUUGGGACUUUGUUCAAUUAUAGAUUUGCACAGAAAUCAUACAAAUAAUUUGGCAGGGCAUAACGUGUCUGGCUUUUACAAGAAAUAAUCUUUGGCAAACCUAGAUAUUUUGACAAGAAUAUUUUUUCUUACUUGGUUUAAAAAAAUGUUUAGUAUUUACUUUGUACUCAGAAUCAUUGACAGACUUUUGCUGAAUAUCCACUCCUUCAACACGCACAAUUUCUGAAAAUAAUGUUGCAUUUUUCUAAUUGUUUCUCACAGUAUCCCAAGUUUAGGGAAGCAGAUUUACAAGAUUUACUUCAAUUGUUAGAAAACUGUGGAUUAGUGCAAACGUAUUUAAAUGUGAUCAGACCUUCAUGUGUGCUCAUAUGUGCAUGCCUUGAUUCUUCAAAUAAAUUCAGUUCAGUUGUAUAUAACUGGAAAAAAACUUAAAAUGGAGCAGGCUGCUUACCUCAGAAUUUAUCUGUUCUAAGGAGGAGAAAAAUAGUCUUUUAAAGUGUCAGUUGUGGAGUUCCUAUUGUGGCUCAGCCAGUUAAGAACCCAAUUAGUAUCCAUGAGGAUGCAGAUUUGAGAUCCCUGGCUCAGUGGGUUAAGGAUCCGGCAUUGCCACAAGCUGUGGCAUAAGUCCCACACCCCCCCCGCACCUCGCGUUGCUGUGGCUGUAGUGUAGGCUGGCAGCUGUAGAUCUGAUUCAACACCUAACCUGGGAACUUCCAUAUGUCGCAGGUGUGACCCUAAAAAGCAAAAAGAAAAAGAAAAGAAAAAAA